UUCCUGAUGGUUAAUCAGGAUCUCCUUUUUUGUAACUUGAAUUCAUUGGUUCAGGCCCUACCCUCCGGAGCAGGAGAAAACAAGCUUGCUCCAUCUUCCAUGUGACAGCCCUUCAGAUAUUUGAAGAUGGCUAUCAUAUGUCCUCUUGGUCUCCUCUUUUCCAGGCUAAACAUACCCAGAUCCUUCAAC
Molecule: non-coding RNA, 189 nt
Organism: Podarcis lilfordi (Lilford's wall lizard)
Lineage: Eukaryota; Metazoa; Chordata; Lepidosauria; Squamata; Lacertidae
Source: the annotation of a GenBank genome assembly